UACGUAGGUGGCAAGCGUUAUCCGGGUUUACUGGGUGUAAAGGGCGUGUAGGCGGGGAAGCAAGUCAGAUGUGAAAACCACGGGCUCAACCUGUGGCCUGCAUUUGAAACUGUUUUUCUUGAGUGCUGGAGAGGCAAUCGGAAUUCCGUGUGUAGCGGUGAAAUGCGUAGAUAUACGGAGGAACACCAGUGGCGAAGGCGGAUUGCUGGACAGUAACUGACGCUGAGGCGCGAAAGCGUGGGGAGCAAACAGG
This 253-nucleotide ribosomal RNA is filed under the name uncultured bacterium. RNAcentral describes it as "partial 16S ribosomal RNA". It matches the Rfam family "Bacterial small subunit ribosomal RNA", at positions 524 to 776 of the family's 1533-position model. The record is from RNAcentral.